UACCAGCACCCCGAGUGGUCGGGACGAUUAUUGGGCGUAAAGGAUGCGUAGAUGGUUCAGUAAGUUACUGGUGGGAAAUCGAGGCCCAACCUCGUGGAAGUUAGUAAUACUGUUGAACUUGAGUGCAGGAGAGGUUAACGGAACUUCAUGUGGAGCGGUAAAAUGCGUAGAUAUAUGAAAGAACAUCAAUAUGGCGAAGGCAGUUAACUAUUCUGCUACUGACAUUGAGGCAUGAAAGCGUGGGGAGCAAAACGG
This 255-nucleotide ribosomal RNA is filed under the name uncultured bacterium. RNAcentral's name for it is "partial 16S ribosomal RNA". The stretch from base 27 to 255 matches the Rfam family "Bacterial small subunit ribosomal RNA", at positions 550 to 776 of the family's 1533-position model. The record is from RNAcentral.